Molecule: long non-coding RNA, 994 nt
Filed under: Anas zonorhyncha (Eastern spot-billed duck)
Lineage: Eukaryota; Metazoa; Chordata; Aves; Anseriformes; Anatidae
Description: lncRNA (ENSAZOG00000009700.1)
Source: RNAcentral
CGCCGCCGCCGCCCCCCCCGCGCCGCGCUCACCUUUUAAAUUUUCCGCCAUCUUCGCUUUUUUUUUUUUUUUUCCCUUUUCCCCCUUUUUUUUUUUUUUUUUUUUAAUUUUUUUUCCCUCCCUUCCUCCCCGCGCGCCUUCCCUUUCCGCCCGGCGGCCCCCGCGCGCGCGCGAGCGCGCUGCGCUCCCAUUGGCUGCCGCCGCCGCUUCGUUUGCAUCCCUCCCGGCGGCCCCCGCGGCGGCGCGUUUCGGCCCCAAAAAGCCCUUUUUUCACCCAAAUGCCGGUGUUUUCGCCGCUCCCGUCGCUGCCUACGUGGGGGGCGCCACCCCCCCGAGCCGUUAAGUCGGGGGCCCGUCACUCCGUGCCCCUCGCCCUAACCUUGAUUCCUCGCCUCACGGCGGCUCGGAGGCUGCCGGCGGGGCUGAGGAGCGGCGCCUGCAGCCCGCCCUGGCCCUGGAUGAAGUCGUAGAUGAGCCGCGAGGUCUCGGCGUCCGCCAGCUGCGCCUCGCUGAUGCCCGCCCGCGAGAACAGCGCCCGCAGCUCACCUGCCCGCUGCUGGCGCCGCCGCAGCCGCUCCUGGACCCGCUCCUCGAAGGCGGCCGCCUCGGCCUCGUCCGCGAAGUUCAGCCCCGCCCGGCCCUCCUGGGCAGCCAAUCAGCGCUCGGAACCGCCCGCGGGCACGCCCACCACCGCAGGCCACGCCCACCAAAGCGAAGGCCCCGCCCACUUUCCCAUAGACCCCCCAUGCACCCAAAGCAGCCCCAGGGGCUUAGCCCCUCCCACCGGCCACACCCAAACGCAUUUAGCCACACCCACAUGCCAUUAGCCCCGCCCACAGGCUCUUAACCCCUCCCACUGGCACCUAGCCCCUCCCACAAGCCUUUUAGCCCCUCCCACUGGCCCCACCCAAAUGCAUUCAGCCCCACCCACGUGCCAUUAGCCCCUCCCACAGGGUCUUAGCCCCUCCCACCUGCCCCACCCAAACACCUUUAG